AUUGAACGCUGGCGGUAUGCUUAACACAUGCAAGUCGAACGGCAGCAUGGUCUAGCUUGCUAGACUGAUGGCGAGUGGCGGACGGGUGAGUAACGCGUAGGAAUAUGCCUUGAAGAGUGGGACAACUUGGGGAAACUCAAGCUAAUACCGCAUGUACUCGAGAGAGUAAAGCUGGGGACCUUUAGGCCUGGCGCUUUAAGAUUAGCCUGCGUCCGAUUAGCUAGUUGGUAGGGUAAAGGCCUACCAAGGCGACGAUCGGUAGCUGGUCUGAGAGGAUGAUCAGCCACACUGGAACUGAGAGACGGUCCAGACUCCUACGGGAGGCAGCAGUGGGGAAUAUUGGACAAUGGGGGGAACCCUGAUUCGGCAAUGCCGCGUGUGUGAAGAAGGCCUGAGGGUUGUAAAGCACUUUCAGUGGGGAGGAGGUUUGGAAGGUUAAGAGCUAUUCAAAUGGACGUUACCCACAGAAGAAGCACCGGCUAACUCCGUGCCAGCCGCCGCGGUAA
This 506-nucleotide ribosomal RNA is filed under the name uncultured bacterium. Its description in RNAcentral is "partial 16S ribosomal RNA". It matches the Rfam family "Bacterial small subunit ribosomal RNA", at positions 30 to 523 of the family's 1533-position model. The record is from RNAcentral.